Trichechus manatus latirostris (Florida manatee) is the source of this 104-nucleotide small nuclear RNA. Lineage: Eukaryota; Metazoa; Chordata; Mammalia; Sirenia; Trichechidae. The record is from RefSeq and is a predicted model, not a curated record.
GUGCUUGCUUUGGCAGCACAUAUACUAAAACUGGAACAAUACAGAGAUUAGUAUGGCCCCUGCGCAAGGAUGACACGAAAAUUCGUGAAGCGUUCCAUAUUUUU